GACUUAUUAAUAGGCUGGUCACAGCCUGUGCAGGGUCAGUCCCCAUCAGGACACAACAUGGACAUGAGGGUCCCUGCUGAGCUCCUGGGGCUCCUGCUGCUCUUGCUUCUAAGUGCCAGGUGUGACAUCCAGAUGACCCAGUCUCCAUCCUCCCUGUCUGCAUCCAUAGGAGAGAGAGUCACCAUCACUUGCCAGGCGAGUCAGGGCAUUAGCAAGUGGUUAGCCUGGUAUCAGCAGAAACCAGGGAAAGCUCCUAAACUCCUAAUUGAUGAAGCUUCCAAAUUGCAUACUGGGGUCCCCUCGAGGUUCAGUGGCAGUGGGUCUGGAACAGAAUUCACUCUCACCAUCAGCAGCCUGGAGUCUGACGAUUUUGGAGAUUAUUACUGUCAGAAGUAUGACAAUACCCCUUGCAUGGUGUUACAAGCCCGAACAUAA
Non-coding RNA from Tupaia belangeri chinensis (Chinese tree shrew), 435 nucleotides. NCBI's taxonomy places the organism in Eukaryota, Metazoa, Chordata, Mammalia, Scandentia, Tupaiidae. The record is from the annotation of a RefSeq genome assembly.